UACGGAGGGUGCGAGCGUUAUUCGGAUUCACUGGGCGUAAAGGGCGCGUAGGCGGUUUCUUAUGUGAGGUGUGAAAUCCUUCCGCCUAACGGGAGAAGUGCACGUGAAACUGGGAGACUUGAGUAUGGGAGAGGGAAGUGGAAUUCCUGGUGUAGAGGUGAAGUUCGUAGAUAUCAGGAGGAGCACCUGUGGCGAAGGCGACUUCCUGGACCAAUACUGACGCUGAGGCGCGAAGGCGUGGGGAGCAAACAGC
This 253-nucleotide ribosomal RNA is filed under the name uncultured bacterium. RNAcentral's name for it is "partial 16S ribosomal RNA". It matches the Rfam family "Bacterial small subunit ribosomal RNA", at positions 524 to 776 of the family's 1533-position model. The record is from RNAcentral.